UCCACCUCGAGGACAAGUCAGCAGCAUUACGGUAGACUAUAUUUUGUUCCCAACUAUUUGCCAGGUCAGCAUUGACUCUUGCUUGGCUUUGUGACUUGCUUUGGCCAAUGGAAUAUGAGCGAAUGUGAUGCCACAUGUGAGCAGGUGCUUUGAAUGCAAGCAUCUGAUUUGGCUUGGCCAAUUCCUGCCCUCUGUCAUGAGGAAGGAAUGUCUCGGAUAGGUGCUAUGCCUGUGGCCAGGACCCUAAAAGGAAAGGGCACGUGGAGUAGGGCCACAGCUGACCCACAGCCCACUUGUGACACGAAAGAGGGAGAAACAUUUCCUGGGCUAGGUUACUGGGAUUCUAACAUAGAAGUAUAUAUAAAGCAAUACUCUAUUCCUAGGACUCUAUAGAGUGAUUUGGAAGAUAAAGAAUGAUGAGACAUGGUUUCCAUUCUCAGAGAAUUUAUAAACACAGCAAGCACCAGAAAGAAUUAUAGAGAGUGCAGAAUUCUGGAAUACCUUGCCCACACAGAUUGUGAGGACACUAGAAUUCAGAGGAAAGGAGUAUACUAGCUGGGAUGACCUACAAGAAUGGGAGAAUGGAUCUGCUAAACCCUUGACAUGUUACUGUGGUAACAGGAGCAACUUGGAAUACCUCCUGCUGUUGCUGUAUUUAUCUAGGACAUAGCCUCACACUUACAUCAAGCAGAGACAAUUGAAGCCACCAAGUUCAAUCCAAGCAUCAUCUCACUGGCAGAAUGAAACAGGAUAACCUCCAGCUUGGCCAGAAAGAGGAUAUGACCCGUCAACUAGUACUGAAACAACCACUGCCUUCCAAAUGCCUCCCAUUUAUCUCAGUGUGGGUUAAAAGGCCUAAGCAAUAUGGUUAUCACUUGC
This is a long non-coding RNA of Symphalangus syndactylus (siamang), 879 nucleotides long. RefSeq lists it as uncharacterized. NCBI's taxonomy places the organism in Eukaryota, Metazoa, Chordata, Mammalia, Primates, Hylobatidae. The record is from RefSeq and is a predicted model, not a curated record.